CCCGCCGCCGCCUUUACACCCGCGACACCUCUCCCAGUAGUAGCAGCACCCGCACCCCCGGUGCCCUGCAUCCCUGCCGCCGCCGCCGCCCCCGCCCCGCCUGCGCCGCUCGGCAGGCUGAUGUGCAGCGACAGGUCCGGUGUCGUCGCCGACGCCAUGCCCCGCGGGCGCCGCCGGUGUGCUAGCUUAGCUCAACUAGCUCCCUCCUGGGAUCGAGCGCGAGAGGUCGCUCGCUUUGUGCUUUGCGAUGUGUGUGCGUGAUGCUUCUCUCUCUCUCCUUCCUUCCUCUUCCUCUUCCUCUCUCUCUCUUUCUUCUCUCUUUUGUGUGUACAAGCAUCUACCACCACAUCCACAAUCUUUCUUUCUUUCUUUCUCUCUCUAUUUCUUUCUUUUCUUUCUUUCUCUCAGUAGGAUACCAUGUACGCUUAAACUUUCUCUCACUAGUUUCUCUCUCAAGAAACCAAGAAAGGAGACAUUAGGGAUGGAUGGAUGAAUGAAUGGAAGGAAUGGAAUCGGUUUCAUGUGUUGUCUGGGUUAG
Molecule: long non-coding RNA, 538 nt
Filed under: Oryza brachyantha (malo sina)
Lineage: Eukaryota; Viridiplantae; Streptophyta; Magnoliopsida; Poales; Poaceae
Description: long non-coding RNA (OBRA_LNC002324)
Source: RNAcentral